GCUUUCAUGGUUUAAGUGGUUAGGACGUCCGGCUGCCAAAUGGAAGAAUCAUGGUUCGAAUCCCGAUGAAGGUA
RNAcentral lists this transfer RNA (74 nucleotides) under Stegodyphus mimosarum. It matches the Rfam family "tRNA". Rfam says of the family: Transfer RNA (tRNA) molecules are approximately 80 nucleotides in length. Their secondary structure includes four short double-helical elements and three loops (D, anti-codon, and T loops). Further hydrogen bonds mediate the characteristic L-shaped molecular structure. tRNAs have two regions of fundamental functional importance: the anti-codon, which is responsible for specific mRNA codon recognition, and the 3' end, to which the tRNAs corresponding amino acid is attached (by aminoacyl-tRNA synthetases). tRNAs cope with the degeneracy of the genetic code in two manners: having more than one tRNA (with a specific anti-codon) for a particular amino acid; and 'wobble' base-pairing, i.e. permitting non-standard base-pairing at the 3rd anti-codon position. Lineage: Eukaryota; Metazoa; Arthropoda; Arachnida; Araneae; Eresidae. The record is from Rfam by way of RNAcentral.